This 77-nucleotide transfer RNA is filed under the name Pseudomonadota bacterium. RNAcentral's name for it is "tRNA-Met". It matches the Rfam family "tRNA". Rfam says of the family: Transfer RNA (tRNA) molecules are approximately 80 nucleotides in length. The record is from RNAcentral. RNAcentral also lists the same sequence under 4 other names. Lineage: Bacteria; Pseudomonadati; Pseudomonadota.
GCCGGAGUAGCUCAGCCGGUUAGAGCGAGCGUCUCAUAAGCGCUAGGUCGGCGGUUCGAGUCCGCCCUCCGGCACCA